CGUGGAGCGCAAGCGGACCGUGCCGAAUGGCGGGCAGCGGAGGCCCCGGGCGGCCGAGCCCGGCGUGGCCUUGGGCUCUUCCAGGUGUAACAAAACCUGUCUCAUUUGAAGGUGCUUGAACAAAUACUUUCCAAAAACUUGUCAUGGAGAGUGAGUGAAACAAGCUACCAGGACUACAUUUGCAAAGAACAAGCAUGUAGGUGGCUGUAGUGGAUGUCCAACAUUGGGAGCUGUGAUUUCUAAAAACCCUUCAUUGUUUUGUGUAAGUUUGCUUGAUCAGUCAUGUCUCUGGAUUUGAAUAAUGUUUGAUAACACUGAGGGACUGGAGCCACUUUGUUUUGAAGAUCAUUAGGGUCACCUGGGCCUAGUUUGAGAUGGAAAAAAAAUGAUUUUGGGCUUCUGACUGUCUUUUUCUUUUGGGAAGGUGCAGCUCACAUUUUGGAAGGUAAAAUGAAGACCAUGAACAAAGUCAAGAAACCACGAACAGAAGCAAAUGAUGAAAAUUAGUAUUUAAUUUGAUAUUAAUAAAAUAAGUUAUGUAGAAAUAGUUAAUCUU
Molecule: long non-coding RNA, 556 nt
Filed under: Mus pahari (shrew mouse)
Lineage: Eukaryota; Metazoa; Chordata; Mammalia; Rodentia; Muridae
Description: lncRNA (MGP_PahariEiJ_G0005250.1)
Source: RNAcentral